UUUUUACACCCUAUAAUAAAGUUUUUUUGGAAUGUUUCAUCUGCGUGUAACAGCGCGAAUUAAAUACAACUUUCAGCAACGGAUCUCUUGGCUCUCGCAUCGAUGAAGAACGCAGCGAAAUGCGAUAAGUAAUGUGAAUUGCAGAAUUCAGUGAAUCAUCGAAUCUUUGAACGCACCUUGCGCUCCUUGGUAUUCCGAGGAGCAUGCCUGUUUGAGUGUCAUGAAAUUAUCAACUGCUUUGGCUUUUGUUUCAAAGUGAAGUUGGAUUUGGAGUGUUUGCCGGCGUGUUCGGCUCCUCUCAAAAGCAUCGAACCUUCUCUUGGGGCAGAAAGUAUCUUUGAUGUGAUAAUCAUCUACGUCGCAGAGAAAGCUCCGAGUGGAAGUGUGCUUGUGUGGAAGGGAAAGUUGUUAUGACCUCCCUCUUCCCUCAUUUGACAAGUUCGACCUCAAAUCAGGCAGGACUACCCGCUGAACUUAAGCAUAUCAAUAAGCGGAGGAAAAGAAACUAACAAGGAUUCCCCUAGUAACUGCGAGUGAAGCGGGAAAAGCUCAAAUUUGAAAUCUGGCGUGCCUCCG
Molecule: ribosomal RNA, 576 nt
Filed under: uncultured Sarcodon
Lineage: Eukaryota; Fungi; Basidiomycota; Agaricomycetes; Thelephorales; Thelephoraceae
Description: eukaryotic LSU rRNA
Rfam family: 5.8S ribosomal RNA (bases 68-221)
Source: RNAcentral